UACGUAGGGCGCAAGCGUUAUCCGGAAUUAUUGGGCGUAAAGAGCUCGUAGGCGGUUUGUCGCGUCUGCCGUGAAAGUCCGGGGCUCAACUCCGGAUCUGCGGUGGGUACGGGCAGACUAGAGUGAUGUAGGGGAGACUGGAAUUCCUGGUGUAGCGGUGAAAUGCGCAGAUAUCAGGAGGAACACCGGUGGCGAAGGCGCCACUCUGGGCCGGUACUGACGCUGAGGAGCGAAAGCGUGGGGAGCGAACAGG
This 253-nucleotide ribosomal RNA is filed under the name uncultured bacterium. RNAcentral describes it as "partial 16S ribosomal RNA". It matches the Rfam family "Bacterial small subunit ribosomal RNA", at positions 524 to 776 of the family's 1533-position model. The record is from RNAcentral.